Molecule: long non-coding RNA, 1025 nt
Filed under: Betta splendens (Siamese fighting fish)
Lineage: Eukaryota; Metazoa; Chordata; Actinopteri; Anabantiformes; Osphronemidae
Description: lncRNA (ENSBSLG00000007340.1)
Source: RNAcentral
GCUGAUCCCCGCUGAGUAUGUUUGCUAUCAACGCAACCCGGUGUGUAGAGUACUGUAUUUGUUAGUAGCUGCAGUAUGAUUAAAAAAUGCAUUGUGCUUUAGACUAAUGGUGAAUAAGCAAAAAUGCUUGUCAAUUCGGAUGUAAUAUUGGUAUAUUUACCGUAAAUGGCGUAUUUGUGUUUUUUUUUUCUCCAACACAAUGUCUGGAGUCCCAGUGUUGGAUACGCUCUUCCUACUUAUGUCCUUGAGCGAGACACUGAGCCUUCACUUCCAGUGUGUUUUCCUGCUCCCUCAGGGAGGUGCCACGUCAUGCCUGAAGCUCCAGAGCAUUCACAGUCUCGCUCAAGGAUGCUUCAACCAGGACCUACGCCCGCUGUCAAGUGGCUUGAACCCAGGUCUUCCAGACGAAGGUCGCUCCACUUAAUCACUGCCUCUGCAGAAUGGGAGCGUCAUGAUAUAUGUAACCAGACCACUGACAGGGUUUUGGACAAGAUUUUGGCAGAGAAGCCCUUUUUGUUUGCGGCACCUCCAACUUGUUUCUGGCGGUUUGCAGCUCCUCUCGUCUCCACGAGCGCUGGCGCCGGUGGAGCUGCGCUAAUAGAACAUGGCCGCGCGCCCGUUUUGGCACCGUGUCACUUAUCGACAGAGCAGCGGACACUUUCUCAACUCCAAAUUCUUGCCGCGGGACAUUUUCUGGCAGGAGGAAUCAGUGCUGAAAGCCACACGCGCGCUCGGAGAGGACGCAUGAGGCGCAGACGUGGUGGCGGUGGGCGGGAGGUGCGAACAUGUAAAUGACAGGCGUGUGGACCAGAAUAACCAGGCAGCAUGUGCCGCGGUUCCCCUCCCCUCACACGCAUGAGUGCAGGAGGGAGAGGAAGAAGGUCAAACUGCACCACAGGCCUAAUUUAGACCCUCUAGUUUCCAGCAUCACUGAUCUGCUUCAUUCAUCUGCAAUCACGCUCACCUCUUGCCUCUUGUUGUUAACUCAGUUAAUUACUUGAGUAAUUAUGGAUGUGACACUGCAG